CUUCACCGAGCCGAGCCACAGUGGCUUCUCCUCAGGCCGCUCCUGACCGUAGGUGGCGAGCAGCGCCUGCGCCUC
Streptomyces autolyticus is the source of this 75-nucleotide non-coding RNA. NCBI's taxonomy places the organism in Bacteria, Bacillati, Actinomycetota, Actinomycetes, Kitasatosporales, Streptomycetaceae. The record is from Rfam.